CCCCCAGUCCAGAGCCUUAACCCCGUCGUGGCUGCACUGGCUGAGGCGCGGGUCGCCGCCCCUCAGGCUGGAAAGCCAGACUGGGGCGAGUCGCUGUCCCAGUCCCUCCGCGGGCGGGCGUCCAGACAGCAGUGAUCAGAGGGAUGAACAGGCCACAGCUGCCUGGGCAGAAGAAGCCCCUUUGGGGUCAUGGAAAUGAUCUUCUACAAAGGAGGAAACAUCCUACAUCAUAAAGUAGAAUGGCACCAUCCCAGGAGAUCUGUAACCCAACACUUCAGCCAAGUACCAAACAGAUGCAGGACAUUCAUCUCCUCAAACACCUUCCAAGGCAGUUGUGAAACAAGGAAACAGGAACCCUGAAACCUGAAAUGUUCCCAGCUGGCUGCAAGCCCUGGCUUUCUCCGUUGCUCUGACACUCCUGUGUGGAUUCCAGCAUCGUCUGAGAUUUAAUGACAGUGGAACAGGUUGUAGAGAGGUCAUUUUAUCCAUAGCCAUCAGACUGGGAGAAAGAAGAAGGUGAAUGGACAGAAAAGAACAUACUUCUAGGAGAAAACAAUAAAACAUAACAAGAUGAAGCAUUUUUAAGAUAAAACAAAACCCAUCAUAUCGAAGCUGACCAAGACAAACCAACAGAAAACUAAAACAGCCCCAAGAGAAGGCACAAGAAUCAGAGACCAACUUGUUCACACGUUCAGGAUAAAAGCACUGGACCAAUGGCUGUCAUGUAUGCACAGAGGGCCUGGUGCAGAAUCGCGUAGACUCUGUGCUUGCUGCUUCAGUCUCUUCGACAGGAUGCCCAUUGCAGAUGCCAACUCACACUGAAGAAACAUAGCUUUCUCCAGUUCUUCCAGAAUUCCCUGCAAACCCUGCAAAUACAGCACUCUAUUAGGUUCAAGAAUCGCCAGACAGUUCCAUAGGCUGGACAGCAGUGAAACAACCAGCUAUCCCAAGUCAUGGCCAGCACCCCAGCUUUCUCAAGUCCCCAAAGAUGGUCGAUGCCCCCUGGGUCAGCAGGAAGAAGUCUCAAGAACUUGAUGUCCUCAUUUUCCUAACCUGCCAUACCUAAGAUGGAAGAAUGUUUUCAUCCAGACAAAUACCAACCUGGCUCCAUCCUGUGGCGAUCUGGCAGUAUGGUGCAUCUAGUAAAUCUCUAACUUUCCUGUUCUUGAUAUAAUUAGGAGGGCACAAUGGAAUUUCUGGCUUCAUGGUGGAAGGGAUUUUUUUUCCAAAGAAUUAUUUUGUUUAGAGAGUCUACUAUUGAACAUAUUUUUAUCCCUCACCAAAGCCCAUAUGAAAUUUCCCAAAGUGAAAGGCAUUGAUAUUGUGAAUCAUUAAAAAUGAAAUUAAAAAGGUGCUGGAGAAGAGUGGUCUGCAAUGUCAAAAUGCUAGAACUUUGUCAAGCAGCAAUGGUCGCCAUGUAGUCCAUCACACACACAAAUACACACACACACACACACACACACAC
Long non-coding RNA from Mesocricetus auratus (golden hamster), 1465 nucleotides. RefSeq lists it as uncharacterized. Lineage: Eukaryota; Metazoa; Chordata; Mammalia; Rodentia; Cricetidae. The transcript is spliced from 7 exons. The record is from RefSeq and is a predicted model, not a curated record.